RNAcentral lists this long non-coding RNA (936 nucleotides) under Olea europaea subsp. europaea. The record is from RNAcentral. Lineage: Eukaryota; Viridiplantae; Streptophyta; Magnoliopsida; Lamiales; Oleaceae.
CCAAAACCGGAAGAUUACAAAGCCUAACAUGGCACUGUUUGAGCAGUUUUUCCUGAAUAAAAGCUUACUUGGCCGGAGUUCGAAGAGUCUGUGGUUGAAGGGCACAAAAACAGACAAGGGCAGAUCCGACUACACAAAUCAGAACAGUCUGUAUAUACAUAUCCUGCUCCUGAUUUUAUGUGCAAAGUUUAACAAUGGGAUUCUGUGGUAUAAAUCUUGUAUAAAUUGCAGCUGCUGCUAUUGUUUAUGGCCUAUAAUACCUGAAAUAAAAUGAAAUCCCUUUCUUGAUAACGGGAGAAUCGAUUAACCGAAAGCUCUCGUGGAAGCAAAGAAGAAUUAGCUCUAGUUAAAGAGCCAUUUAUCUACUUCCUAUAUUAGAGAAUUCAUCAGGGGUGGGAGAAUUCAAGAAGAGUAUCAGGAUAAGUUCUCAUGAUUCAUGUUAUGUAUCUGUUUGUUUAUUGAAGUUUCUUUAUUUCAAAAAGUUAAUGUUUUCGUGAUGAAUAUGUGUUUUCAAAAUGGAAACUCUUUAAAAAGGCUUUGAGAUAUAUUUUGGAGAACUUGGAAAAUAUAUAGUUGGUGUCUAUCUAACUCCUGCUCUCAAUCACUUCGUUCCUUCCACUCGUCAACUUGUCCAAACGGCUUGAGGCUCCUCGUACUUAUACGGGUUGAAAGAACAAAGAAGAUUCAUCCAUGCUAAAAGAAUUGGUUGACUGUUGUCCUAUAAUGUGGUGCUUGACAAUCGAUUGUUAAAGAAUUUGACUCCCUUAUUCAUCAUCCUUGAUAAAUUACUUUUCUUCCAUCGAUAACCAGCUUUCAGCUAACCUAGCCAUUCGUCCAUUCGUUGGGAGAUCCCUUGCUCUCAAGUUCGAGUGUUUGCCCAUCGUUUAGGCCCAUGGAUGAGACUUCUGCUGAUUGCAAUUACCUCUAGGGCUCUUC